CAACCCUCAAGCUCUGCUUGGUCUUGGGCGUCACCGGUCCCCGGUGUGCCUUAAAAUCAGUGGCGGCGCCGUCUGGCUCUAAGCGUAGUACAUACUCUCGCUACAGACGCCCGGCGGAUGCUGGCCAGCAACCCCUAAUCUACUAA
RNAcentral lists this unclassified non-coding RNA (146 nucleotides) under uncultured Cryptosporiopsis. RNAcentral describes it as "sequence contains ITS2". The record is from RNAcentral. Lineage: Eukaryota; Fungi; Ascomycota; Leotiomycetes; Helotiales; Dermateaceae.